CAACUGUCUUAGAAUGUUGCCUUGCCACUUAAAAGGCAGCAUAUCACGUCACACUUGAAUCACACGUUGCUGUUGUGGUUUCAUUUCCUGCACCUCUCAUGUACACAGACUCAGAUAAAAUCUUCCAAGGCUAGAAUAAAGCAAGCAAGCUUUCCAUGCACUGUAUAUCCACAUCAUCUACCUUAAAAACUGCUGAGGAAGAAAAAUGAAAUUUUACAUACUAACAAACUGUUUUUUGAAAAUAUUAGUCUUUUUUCUCAGAUACAGGAACCUGACACGCUACUGCCAUUCUUAUAAAGCCAUAUGUUCUUCAUGUGAUGAGAGUGUAAAUUAUUGGAGAUUUUGGGCCUUCAUUUCAAGUAAUUGGCAGAGACGAUGAUGCAUAAAUAACGUUUGAUGCGUCAGCAGUUUUUGGAUCCAGGACAUGCUACAUAUAUCUUUCAUCAUGGAAUUUUAUACUCUGCAAUAUAACCAUGCCAGAAAUGUUCAUGUGUGAC
Molecule: long non-coding RNA, 497 nt
Organism: Schistocerca nitens (vagrant locust)
Lineage: Eukaryota; Metazoa; Arthropoda; Insecta; Orthoptera; Acrididae
Exons: 3
Source: RefSeq, a predicted model, not a curated record